Long non-coding RNA from Melospiza georgiana, 3244 nucleotides. RefSeq lists it as uncharacterized. The transcript has 3 exons. The record is from RefSeq and is a predicted model, not a curated record. Lineage: Eukaryota; Metazoa; Chordata; Aves; Passeriformes; Passerellidae.
CCUGGUUUUGUUUACAGGAUUUAUUGGUUCAUGAAGAGCAAGAGGUAAGUACAAGCCUAACUACCCUCUAGCUCACAGACCUGCCCGGUGAAUAGAGCUUUGUUUUUUUGAUGGGCUUGUGAUGACUUUGAAAUCAAUUGCUCAUUCAUUACAGUAAAAAAAAAAAAUUGUUUUGAACAUGACAGCAAAAAUAACUUUAAGCACAACUUAAUAAUAAUAGAUCACCAAUUUUAGUUAAUAAUUUUAUGCUAUACUCUUGGGUGAGGGAAGACUCGGACACUCAAUAUGAGAUCAGCAAGCUAUGUUUAUUGCAGAGAGUAUCAGACACUUAUACAGCACAUAAUAAGCUUAUGAAUAUUCUGUAAGCCAAGCGAUCUAUUGGUUAAACUAUACCAUCAACUCUUCCUCAUUCCUUUGGGCCUACAUUCCCUAUUUCCCACGUCUCUCUGUCUACUUGUUAUCCUACCCAGCUAGGCCCAGGCACACGCUAUCUUGCAGGUGCAAAACUCAAAAAUACCUGUGUUCGGUACUUUCCCAGCUCCUGGUCGGCUAACGAGCGAAUGUCUGCGUGACCUCUGUCAUGGAGCCAUUUCUCCACACUAUACUAUCAAAGUUUAAAGGUAAAUUAUUAUAUAUUAGGAGAUGGUGUAAAGUGUAUGUUGUAAUGUGUAGGAUAUAUACAAAGAUACGUACUUGAAAGUCCGUAGAGGAAACAAAUUUUUACGCCUUCUGUUUGACUGUUUGUCAUAUAUUUGGUUUUAUUUCCCAGGGAUCAGUGAAUUUUAACUCUGGAGUCCUCUAUGCUAAGGAUGCUCAGCUUACAGAUGAUGAAAUGUUCAGUAAUGGUGAGUUUUUCACCUUCUCCUCCAUUGUUUUGCUCAUCUGAAUGAAAAAAAAAAAAGGCAAGAUUAAAGAAAAAGCAAUAGUUUUAUUAUUUUUACCCUGUUAUGUCUGUUUCCUCAGUAUUUGCUGGAGCUGUGCUUACCCAAGGUUUGGGUAAAACAAGCUUUGGGUUCCUUCUGUCUCACUGGGAGUUGCCCAAUUCAGUUGCAUCUGGUGAAAUUCACCCUGAGACCUUACAGAACCAGCUCCAACUACGUGCGAGCCAUUUGCAGUUCUCUCCAGACGCCUGGAGAAUGGGUGACGUUUCUGAGGAUCCGGCGAGCGUGCUUCUGUCAAAACUCAGUCUGUGAAAUUUCUGGGGAAAACCCUUCUGUGUCCUGAAGGGUUCAAACUCUGGAUUUUUUGUCUUUGCAAAAUAUUGUGCAUUUCACUCUUUGGAACCUCUCAGAUGGUUCUUUGGUGCAGCACCACCCCAUGGGACACUUGGCUGCUGUCCUGAAGGGGUUGGUCGCUAGAAUUGUAAAUCCUGGAGAGUUUGUAAGUCUACUGUCCCCAGGGAGGUAUCAUGCUUUGUUUACUUCUGUUCUGUUGGUUAGGCGCUGCUUCUCGUUGCAAGUACGAAUUUCAAACUGCCCUGUUCUUAUUUUAACUUUUUUCCUGGUUCUCUCUGUCCGGCAGGGAAAGACUCUCGUAUCCUUGUCGUCGGGCUCGGUGCUGUCCAAGAAGAUACAGAGACUAAAAAAAUCAUAAGAAGCAAAAUAUGACUGCAGGGAAAAGAAGCUGGAGAGAACAGAAGGGGCUGUUUCCAAAGUGACCUACAGACAUUGGAAUGAAAUCAUUAUUUACUGUGUAAAAGAAUCACUCUCCAAAGCAUCAGCCAAGGUCUAAAUAUGCCAUUCUGCCUUUUAAAAGUACCAACAUCACAGGAUUUUUCUCAGAUUAAAGCUUCCAUGGAGUCGGAUCUCUCAAGCCUGGCCCUUGAGAAUUGUGGGCCUCCUGUGAACUGGUCUUGCCAGAAGGGCUUGCUGAGUUUUCCAUUGUGUGGAAAAGAGAUCCCAUUUGCAGCCUGAAGCCUCAUGUUUCCUGUAGGAUUUCUACUCCUAGAAUUGCACACUUUGAAGGAUUUCUUAUAGCAGAAGUUUUUUGGGAACUAGGACUCUGGUUGGAUUUGGGUCUCUGGACUCUCAGGUGAAGUGACCUUGAGACACUAGGGCAUGCAGAUUUCCUUGCUGUUGAAAAGAGCUAUUGUUCGCACCCAGGAGCCAUGGUCUGAAUGGGGGUGUCACCUCUUAAAUUUGCAAAUGUCACAGGAUUUCUUCUAAAUGAAUGGUGCUAAGAACAUAAGGUCUGGCUGGCUUUCGACUUAGAGGCGCCUCCUCUAAAUUGGUCUUCAGACGCUAGGUUGGAAAGUGUUCCUACAUAUGCCAAAUAGCCCUUGCUAUGCAAUUAAUAAGCUUCAAAUUACCAUGGAGUUGCUGCCCCUGCAAAGAUUUUGGCAGAGCCUGGUUGUGGUGCCCCACUCCACUCCACCACCCUUAGCAGGUCCUUAUGGUUGCAUGGGGAAUCAUCGUGGAGCAUGCCAACCCAGCUCCAUCCUGGGAACAGCACCUGUAUUUUACCCUAAAAUUUCUGUCCCAUUAUAGCUCCUGUUAGGAUACAAAUGUAACUUCUCGGUUUCCACUGAUUUUACCCCCAGUCAUCUUUCCAUACAGACAUUGCUCCACUCCCCAGAGGAUUAUUGUGAGCAGAUGUGAGCUCUGCUGUCCCUUUGGACUGACAAAGACAGAGGUUUUGUCCCAAGUUGCUUUUGAACCUGUCCUGCACCUGUUACGAGUCCUCAGUCUCCUGCAAUUUUGUGGGUCAGUCACAUGUAAAACAGCACAGCUGGCUGGCAUGCUUUGCUCAUGAGGGGAGACAAGAGAAGAAUCCCUCUGCUCACACCAGACCUGCAGCUGCCAAACCUCACCAAAGCACCUGAGGAGCCCCCAGGGACUGAUGGUACAGAAGGGAGGUGAUGGAGGACAGCACAGCAGGCAGCCUGCCCUCCAUCUGGGUGUGAAGAAGGCAGGGCUGGGAACUGUAAGCAACAUCCCAGCAGGUCUGGCUGAUGGUGCCACCCUGAGGGCUUCCCCUGCCUUUGGGCAGUCCCAGCUGCUGCAGCUCACUUGACAGACUCAUUGUCUAUACUGUGCUUGGCUGCACUGGAGAUGAUGAAGCCGAGGACAGCAAUGGUUGCCUUCACAUCCCCUGACUGCAGAUGGGAAGGAGGGCGAGCUCUGUCACCUUGGGAAGGCGUCUGCAGAGUCACUGCUGCCCGUCUCUGGAGCGUGGCUCCAUUGGGGGACCGUGGUAAGGACAGCAGUGCUCACUUAACUGUGCACCUGAGGACAGCUUCAGGACC